UGAGAACAUUCUUUGUUUUAGCUGACUCUA
RNAcentral lists this non-coding RNA (30 nucleotides) under Mus musculus (house mouse). Lineage: Eukaryota; Metazoa; Chordata; Mammalia; Rodentia; Muridae. The record is from RNAcentral.